AGAGUUUGAUCAUGGCUCAGGACGAACGCUGACGGUGUGCUUUAGACAUGCAAGUCGAACGAGAAAGCCCUUCGGGGUGAGUACAGUGGCGAACGGGUGAGUAACACGUGGGCAAUCUGCCCCUCGCAGGGGGACAACCGGGGGAAACCCCGGCUAAUACCCCGUACGCUUACGGAGCCGCAUGGGUCCGUAAGGAGAGGUAGCUUCGGCCAUCCGGCGAGGGAUGAGCCCGCGGUGCAUUAGCUAGUUGGUGAGGUAACGGCUCACCAAGGCGACGAUGCAUAGCUGGUCUGAGAGGAUGAUCAGCCACACUGGGACUGAGACACGGCCCAGACUCCUACGGGAGGCAGCAGUCGGGAAUCUUGCGCAAUGGGCGAAAGCCUGACGCAGCAACACCGUGUGAGCGACGAAGGCCUUCGGGUCGUAAAGCUCUGUUGUUGGGGACGAAGGGUUAGGGGUUAAUAGCCCCGAGCCUGACGGUACCCUUCGAGGAAGCCCCGGCUAACUACGUGCCAGCAGCCGCGGUAAUACGUAGGGGGCGAGCGUUGUCCGGAAUUAUUGGGCGUAAAGAGCGUGUAGGCGGUUCGGUAAGUCUGCCGUGAAAACCCAGGGCUCAACCCUGGGCGUGCGGUGGAUACUGCCGGGCUAGAGGGUGGUAGAGGCGAGUGGAAUUCCCGGUGUAGCGGUGAAAUGCGCAGAUAUCGGGAGGAACACCAGUAGCGAAGGCGGCUCGCUGGGCCACACCUGACGCUGAGACGCGAAAGCGUGGGGAGCAAACAGGAUUAGAUACCCCGGUAGUCC
RNAcentral lists this ribosomal RNA (801 nucleotides) under uncultured Rubrobacter sp. RNAcentral describes it as "bacterial SSU rRNA". It matches the Rfam family "Bacterial small subunit ribosomal RNA", at positions 8 to 796 of the family's 1533-position model. Lineage: Bacteria; Bacillati; Actinomycetota; Rubrobacteria; Rubrobacterales; Rubrobacteraceae. The record is from RNAcentral.